Molecule: ribosomal RNA, 253 nt
Filed under: uncultured bacterium
Lineage: Bacteria
Description: partial 16S ribosomal RNA
Rfam family: Bacterial small subunit ribosomal RNA
Source: RNAcentral
UACGAGGGGUCCUAGCGUUGUUCGGAAUCAUUGGGCGUAAAGGGUGCGUAGGCUGCUAUUCAAGUCAGUUGUGAAAUCCCCGGGCUCAACCCGGGAAGUGCUUCUGAUACUGUUUAGCUUGAGUACUGGAGAGGAUAGUAGAAUUCCAGGUGUAGUGGUGAAAUACGUAGAUAUCUGGAGGAAUACCGGUGGCGAAGGCGGCUAUCUGGCCAUGUACUGACACUGAAGCACGAAAGCGUGGGGAGCAAACAGG